Non-coding RNA from Macrolepiota fuliginosa MF-IS2, 82 nucleotides. Lineage: Eukaryota; Fungi; Basidiomycota; Agaricomycetes; Agaricales; Agaricaceae. The record is from the annotation of a GenBank genome assembly.
UCUCUGUUAGUAUAUCGGUUAGUACACGCGCCUGUCAUUCUUGUGGCCGCGCGAAAGCGGGGUUCGACUCCCCGACAGAGAG